GAUUAACGCUGGCGGCGUGCAUAACACAUGCAAGUCGAACGAUGAAACUUAGUAAACUUCUUCGGAAAGACACUAAGCGGAUUAGUGGCGAACGGGUGAGUAACGCGUGAGUAACCUGCCUUACACAAGGGGAUAGCCUUUGGAAACGAAGAAUAAUACCCUAUAAAACCAUAAAAGCACAUGCUAGAAUGGUCAAAGUGAUAGCGGUGUAAGAUGGACUUGCGUCUGAUUAGCUAGUUGGUGAGAUAAAAGCUCACCAAGGCAACGAUCAGUAGCCGGCUUGAGAGAGUGUACGGCCACAUUGGGACUGAGACACGGCCCAGACUCCUACGGGAGGCAGCAGUGGGGAAUUUUGCACAAUGGGGGAAACCCUGAUGCAGCGACGCCGCGUGAUUUAGAAGGCCUUCGGGUUGUAAAAAUCUUUUGUAUAGGAAGAAAAUGACAGUACUAUACGAAUAAGGUCCGGCUAAUUACGUG
Molecule: ribosomal RNA, 477 nt
Filed under: uncultured bacterium
Lineage: Bacteria
Description: partial 16S ribosomal RNA
Rfam family: Bacterial small subunit ribosomal RNA
Source: RNAcentral